Pelmatolapia mariae (spotted tilapia) is the source of this 865-nucleotide long non-coding RNA. RefSeq lists it as uncharacterized. NCBI's taxonomy places the organism in Eukaryota, Metazoa, Chordata, Actinopteri, Cichliformes, Cichlidae. The record is from RefSeq and is a predicted model, not a curated record. The transcript has 3 exons.
ACAGCUGGUUCUCCUUUAACUGUGAUCAUCACUGCGGCUGUCCUUGUUGCUCUCCUGCUACUUGUGGUUAUUGUGGUUUUCACCUACAAAUGUUUUUCAUGGUCAAAACACAGAAAAAAUGGAGAAGCACAGAACAAAGAAGAUAAUAUCUAUGACGCAAUACAAGAGUCUUCCCAGAAGUCCGACUCAAGACCUGCAAUGAAAACAGUUUAUGCCACUGCCAACUUCCCCACAAACCCAUCUCUCUUCAUGCAUGAGUUUAAAGUCAACGUUAAAAACAUCUCUGGUGAGGCUGAUUCUGGUACAUAUUUUAAUCUGUGGAAACCAGGCCAGCGUGAUACGAAGUCUACAGCCAAUCAUAUACCCAGAGUUUCCACUGACCCUUUCUACUCUCUGUUGUUGCCAUGCUACUGCGGCACUGAGGCAGGUUAAGUCCUGACUGCUCCUCUGUUUACUGCUUACUUUCUCAUGUGGGGGCAGGUAUGUUUGAAUAGCUAUUUAAUUUUGAUGAUCUAGGAAAUUUCAAAGCAUGUGGGUUCGUUUCCUUGAUGCAUUUCAAAAUGUAUAAGAAUUUUUCAGGUGCUUUCACCUCAUGUCAGGUGUGGAAAUAGAGUGUACAGAUCUGGGGCGGUGACCUGGGUGGGAAUGAAUGGGAUUAUUUUGCUGGGCCUAAAUGUUAUUUGUGUUUAUAUUUUUUUUCUUUAUUUCACUUUUAAAUUUUUUUUUUUAACAGCCUUAAGUGUGUGGGCCCAUUACCCCGAAUGUACAACUCAUCUGUAAUCCUUCUCUUCUCUAUUUGUUUAUAUGUAUGAAGGAAAUAUUCUUAGUAAAAAGACAUUGUUUAAAAAAAUGAUGAUCUGAAAAA